Molecule: ribosomal RNA, 497 nt
Filed under: uncultured bacterium
Lineage: Bacteria
Description: partial 16S ribosomal RNA
Rfam family: Bacterial small subunit ribosomal RNA
Source: RNAcentral
GAUGAACGCUGGCGGCGUGCCUAACACAUGCAAGUCGAACGAACAGACAGUGAGCUUUUGCUCCUGCCGGUAGCGGCGGACGGGCGAGUAACACGUGGAUCAGCUUCCUCUUAGACUGGGAUAAUUUCGUGAAACCACUUCCACUACUAGAUCAUAUAUCCAACCGCUUGGUUCAAUAGUUCAUCACGGCUUUGCCGUCACUAUUAGCUGAUUCCGGGUCGCAUUAGCUAGUUGGUAAGGUAACGGCUUACCAAGGCGACGAUGCGCAGCCGACCUGAGAGGGUGAUCGGCCACACUGGAACUGAGACACGGUCCAGACUCCUACGGGAGGCAGCAGUGGGGAAUAUUGCGCAAUGGGCGAAAGCCUGACGGAGCAACGCCGCGUGGGUGAUGAAGGUCUUCGGAUCGUAAAGCUCUGUUAUUAGGGAAGAACAAAUGUAGAAGUAACUAUGCCCGUCUUGACGGUACCUAAUCAGAAAGCAACGGCUAACUACGUG